This is a small nuclear RNA of Cercocebus atys (sooty mangabey), 107 nucleotides long. The record is from Ensembl. NCBI's taxonomy places the organism in Eukaryota, Metazoa, Chordata, Mammalia, Primates, Cercopithecidae.
GUGCUCACUUUGGUAGCACAUAUAUUAAAAUUAGAAUGAUACAGAGAAGAUUAGCAUGGCCCCUGUGAAAGGAUGACAUGCAAAUUCAUGAAGCAUUCCAUAUUUUU